ACUUUUAUGAGAGUUUGAUCCUGGCUCAGGACGAACGCUGGCGGCGUGCCUAAUACAUGCAAGUCGAACGCUUCUUUUCUCCCGAAUGCUUGCAUUCAAUUGAAAAGAGGAGUGGCGGACGGGUGAGUAACACGUGGGUAACCUGCCCAUAAGAGGGGGAUAACAGUCG
This 169-nucleotide ribosomal RNA is filed under the name Isobaculum melis. RNAcentral describes it as "16S rRNA. Bacterial SSU". It matches the Rfam family "Bacterial small subunit ribosomal RNA", at positions 1 to 152 of the family's 1533-position model. The record is from RNAcentral. Lineage: Bacteria; Bacillati; Bacillota; Bacilli; Lactobacillales; Carnobacteriaceae.